This is a long non-coding RNA of Lepisosteus oculatus (spotted gar), 593 nucleotides long. RefSeq lists it as uncharacterized. The record is from RefSeq and is a predicted model, not a curated record. Lineage: Eukaryota; Metazoa; Chordata; Actinopteri; Semionotiformes; Lepisosteidae.
UAUGUUUCCAGAGCCAGGAUCUUCCCUGUGUGAUGGUGGCAGUGAGACAGUGCCUCUAGUGGUUGUGUGCAGUACUGCUCUGGAGAGGCUGCAGCUUGGAGCUCUCUCACCAGACAGCUGACCCACAGAGGUGCAGGAGAGGGGUUGGGCCUGAAGCAGAGAGCCAGCAGUGUGCUGGAGCUCAGCUCUGUGUCAGAGAGGAGACAGGAGCCCUGCAGUGGAGCUGGACUGUCCCAGGUCAGGAUCAGUAGGGCCUGAGGCCCCCAGCCCAGGGAGAGGAAGGCGUCUGCUUGGAGCCCAGGGUGUCCAGUGAAGUGAAGAGCUCAGACCCCAGUGUGUAGAAGCAGUUGUGGGGAGGACUAUCUUGCCUUGUCCUACAGAAGAUGUACAUUGAUGCCCCAGUGUCCAGCCCAGCACCUCAGAAGACAGGACUGUCUGAGGAGUUGGGGAGCUGCCAGCCUGCUGCAGAUAUCCCAAAAGCUUCUUGUGCCCAAGGAGCUCUUGACUAUUUAAGGAAUGUGAUGACUGUAAUAUGAGAUGCAUCUGCAGGUAGAAUAUAGUUUCAGUAUUAAACUGAAUGUGUUCAUUUAACA